RNAcentral lists this ribosomal RNA (374 nucleotides) under uncultured bacterium. RNAcentral's name for it is "bacterial SSU rRNA". It matches the Rfam family "Bacterial small subunit ribosomal RNA", at positions 28 to 404 of the family's 1533-position model. The record is from RNAcentral.
GACGAACGCUGGCAGCGUGCUUAACACAUGCAAGUCGAGCGGUAAGGCCCUUUCGGGGGUACACGAGCGGCGAACGGGUGAGUAACACGUGGGUGACCUGCCCUCAGCUCUGGGAUAAGCCUGGGAAACCGGGUCUAAUACUGGAUAUGACUCCAUGACGCAUGUUGUGGGGUGGAAAGCCUUGUGCGGCUGAGGAUGGGCCCGCGGCCUAUCAGCUUGUUGGGGGGUGAUGGCCUACCAAGGCGACGACGGGUAGCCGGCCUGAGAGGACGACCGGCCACACUGGGGCUGAGACACGGCCCAGACUCCUACGGGAGGCAGCAGUGGGGAAUCUUGCGCAAUGGGCGAAAGCCUGACGCAGCGACGCCGCGUGA